GCAAUCGGAUUGAUGAUAGCUCACCAGCGUAGGGACCGUAUUUUCAGCCAGAUCCGGCUGCCUGACGGCCCGUCUCAGAACGUGAUCGAUAUUAUAGUCAAUCCUAGCAUUUUCAGACAUUCUGGACACGUUCCAGGUGUCAAAAUUGACAUAGGUGAUCGAUGUCAACUAUUUUUCUGCAUCCAACAGCCAUAAUAAUCAUCGAUGUACUGUGAGUAAAAUAUUAAUUUUAAUUGUAAUUUCGAUAUUAUUAUAUGUUCAAGCAUGCCCAUGCAUCACUUAUAAAUAUGUAUUUAUGUAGUUAAAUACUAGGCACGUUUUUAUGUUGCAUUCAUAAUUGUUAAAAUGCCAUGGAUGUUGUUGUGGUAAUUUGAAGCAAUGUGCGUGAGUUGGCGUGCGUGUGGUAUGGUGUUGGUUAUGGACAGGACGGGUAGACACGGCUUGAGAUCUUCACUAGGACCUGGUCCUUCGGGGUAGACACGGCUUGAGUUCUUCGCUAGGACCCCGAUUUGGUUUAUUAAGCGAAAGUCCGUCUUGAGUUCUUCACUGGCACAGGUUGGAUUAAGAGGGCUGUAUAGGGGAUCAACUCCCAUAUAUGUAUUGUUUGACAGUGUUGGGUGUGUGAGUGCUCCAAAUUGCCUUUUUGAUGUGAUUUGUAUGAAAUUUAUGAUGAUGUUGCAUUUCACUU
Hevea brasiliensis (rubber tree) is the source of this 688-nucleotide long non-coding RNA. RefSeq lists it as uncharacterized. The transcript is spliced from 2 exons. The record is from RefSeq and is a predicted model, not a curated record. Lineage: Eukaryota; Viridiplantae; Streptophyta; Magnoliopsida; Malpighiales; Euphorbiaceae.